GGAGCCACCAACUUAAGUAGAAAGUCAUAAAUUAUGAGAACUGAUAUACUAGAUAGAAAGGAAGAAAUAGCUCAGUGG
RNAcentral lists this transfer RNA (78 nucleotides) under Escherichia phage T5. RNAcentral describes it as "tRNA-Met". Lineage: Duplodnaviria; Heunggongvirae; Uroviricota; Caudoviricetes; Demerecviridae. The record is from RNAcentral.